UACGUAGGGGGCAAGCGUUGUCCGGAUUUAUUGGGCGUAAAGAGCGUGUAGGCGGUCAGGUAGGUCCGUUGUGAAAACUCGAGGCUCAACCUCGAGACGCCGAUGGAAACCAUCUGACUAGAGUCCGGAAGAGGAGAGUGGAAUUCCUGGUGUAGCGGUGAAAUGCGCAGAUAUUAGGAAGAACACCCGUGGCUAAGGCGGCUCUCUAGUACGGUACUGAUGCUGAGACGCGAAAGCGUGGGGAGCGAACAGG
This 253-nucleotide ribosomal RNA is filed under the name uncultured bacterium. RNAcentral describes it as "partial 16S ribosomal RNA". It matches the Rfam family "Bacterial small subunit ribosomal RNA", at positions 524 to 776 of the family's 1533-position model. The record is from RNAcentral.